AUGGUAGGAUAGAGGCCUACCAUGGUGGUAACGGGUAACGGGGUGUUAGGGCACGACACCGGAGAGGGAGCCUGAGAAACGGCUACCACAUCCAAGGAAGGCAGCAGGCGCGCAAAUUACCCAAUCCCGACACGGGGAGGUAGUGACAAUAAAUAACAAUACAGGGUUCUUUGAAUCUUGUAAUUGGAAUGAGUACAAUUUAAAUCUCUUAACGAGGAACAAUUGGAGGGCAAGUCUGGUGCCAGCAGCCGCGGUAAUUCCAGCUCCAAUAGCGUAUAUNAAAGUUGUUGCAGUUAAAAAGCUCGUAGUUGAAUUUCGGGAUCAAUACGACGGUCGUGCUUUCGGGUACGUACUGGCGUCAUUGGUUUCUCCUUUCUGACGAACCAUGAUGUCAUUAAUUUGGUGUUAUGGGGAGUUAGGACUGUUACUUUGAAAAAAUUAGAGUGUUUAAAGCAGGCAUUAGCUUGAAUACAUUAGCAUGGAAUAAUGAAAUAGGACGUUCGAUCCUAUUUUGUUGGUUUCUAGGAUCAACGUAAUGAUUAAUAGGGAUAGUUGGGGGCAUUAGUAUUCAAUUGUCAGAGGUGAAAUUCUUGGAUUUAUUGAAGACUAACUACUGCGAAAGCAUUUGCCAAGGAUGUUUUCAUUAAUCAAGAACGAAAGUUAGGGGAUCGAAGACGAUCAGAUACCGUCGUAGUCUUAACCAUAAACUAUGCCGACUAGGGAUCGGAUGAUGUUAAUUUUUUAAUGACUCAUUCGGCGCCUUACGGGAAACCAAAGUGUUUGGG
This 785-nucleotide ribosomal RNA is filed under the name uncultured Glomus. Its description in RNAcentral is "SSU rRNA". It matches the Rfam family "Eukaryotic small subunit ribosomal RNA", at positions 325 to 1111 of the family's 1831-position model. The record is from RNAcentral. Lineage: Eukaryota; Fungi; Glomeromycota; Glomeromycetes; Glomerales; Glomeraceae.